CAGUCGCCGCGGUAAAACGAAGGGGGCUAGCGUUGUUCGGAAUUACUGGGCGUAAAGCGCACGUAGGCGGAUCGAUCAGUCAGGGGUGAAAUCCCAGGGCUCAACCCUGGAACUGCCUUUGAUACUGUCGAUCUGGAGUAUGGAAGAGGUGAGUGGAAUUCCGAGUGUAGAGGUGAAAUUCGUAGAUAUUCGGAGGAACACCAGUGGCGAAGGCGGCUAACUGGUCCAUAACUGACGCUGAGGUGCGAAAGCGUGGGGAGCAAACAGGAUUAGAUACCCCCGUAGUCCCUGUCUCUUAUAC
This 301-nucleotide ribosomal RNA is filed under the name uncultured bacterium. RNAcentral describes it as "partial 16S ribosomal RNA". It matches the Rfam family "Bacterial small subunit ribosomal RNA", at positions 509 to 807 of the family's 1533-position model. The record is from RNAcentral.